Molecule: non-coding RNA, 24 nt
Filed under: Arabidopsis thaliana (thale cress)
Lineage: Eukaryota; Viridiplantae; Streptophyta; Magnoliopsida; Brassicales; Brassicaceae
Source: RNAcentral
AGUAAACAAAUGUUCAGUCGGAAA